CCCUCACUCUCUCCACUCCCAGACUCCCAGUCCACUCACGAUGCCAGAUCUCCGCGAGUCACCCAUUCCACCCCCUCCGCUCUCGCCCCCACAGCCAGCGACCUCGUCUCGCACCGCCGCCUCCUCUCAUCCCCUCCCCAGCUCCCCUCCACUCAUCCGACGGCGACUAGAUGCGAACACAACCGGCGACCAACAUCACACAAAGGUCGCCACCGCCGGCGGUGGAAGGACAGUCUUCUCCCGCCGCUAGCCGCAGCCUCCGCCUCGCCCAGAUCCUCGGCCUCCUCGACCGCCGCUCGCUCUCCUCGGAAGCACCUCGCCGCCUCCCUGCCCAUGCCGUGUUCGCCGACUGCCCUGCUCGCGCCGACCUCGCCAAUCUCGCGGCCACGCUUGGUAGUGCUUGACUUGUCCUCGCCGCCGCCAGCGGCGACGGGUCCUUCCCGUGCCUCUACCGCCUCGUGGUUGAGUCCUCCUCUCCCCAAAUCGACACCCGUCCAUUUGUCGAGCCUUCCGUGCCAGCGACAUGAGCAGGAUGGUGUACACCGACUUCACAGACAUGUGGCCGUCGAGGCUUCAGAUGAGGUCGACGCGGAUGAGAACAGUCCAUAGAGCUGUACCAGGCAGAACAAGCUUUUCCACGCAUGGGGUCUGAUUACAAUAUUUUCGGAGAUGCAUAAUAUGCCAAACACUGCUCAAGGUGCCUCGUCCAUGGGCGCAUGAUAGUGGAAAAACAUCUGUAAAUUGUGCAGGAUCCUAUAGAGCAAAUGGGCAUCAUCGACGUGCAGUACACGCUCUCUUAGGAAGAUAAGUAACCUCAGAAAAGUUAUUUUGUGAAGAUCGGUGGUUCAUGGUCUGAAAGUUUUGUUUUUCUCUCUAAAUUUUGUACUAGAUAAUCCCUUAAAUGCUUUUUACUGCUUGAUCACAUAAUACAUGUCCGUGCAAGAAAGGAGUUGUUAACUGAAACAAUAAUGUUAAAUUUUGUUGUUAACUGAAACAAUAAUGUUAAUUUAUGUUAACUACAAACUGUCUUGGACAUUGGUGUUUUCAAAUUAACUCCGUGUUGAACUGGUUCUUCUUGUUGUGUGCUGCAGCCCAGCAAUCUGUUCAUGCCAAAUGAUUGAGUCCUGGUGAGGUUCAUUGCUGGACAUUCACGGUCUCCGCAGGCAAGG
Triticum dicoccoides is the source of this 1169-nucleotide long non-coding RNA. RefSeq lists it as uncharacterized. The transcript is spliced from 2 exons. Lineage: Eukaryota; Viridiplantae; Streptophyta; Magnoliopsida; Poales; Poaceae. The record is from RefSeq and is a predicted model, not a curated record.